Molecule: transfer RNA, 92 nt
Filed under: Burkholderia pseudomallei
Lineage: Bacteria; Pseudomonadati; Pseudomonadota; Betaproteobacteria; Burkholderiales; Burkholderiaceae
Description: tRNA-Ser(gct)
Source: RNAcentral
CGGCUUGUGGCAGCGGUCACUUUCUGCUGGCUGCUGCCCGGCGACUGGCUAAUCACCUGGCUCAAUCGCGUGCGCAGGGCACGCCCAGCGGC